Molecule: ribosomal RNA, 431 nt
Filed under: uncultured bacterium
Lineage: Bacteria
Description: bacterial SSU rRNA
Rfam family: Bacterial small subunit ribosomal RNA
Source: RNAcentral
GAUGAAUGCUAGCGGCGUGCCUAAGAUAUGCAAGUCGAACGAAAUGUUUCACCGGUAGCUUGCUACCACCGAGACAUUUAGUGGCAAACGGCUGAGUAAUACGUAGGAAUCUACCCCUAACUCGGGGAUAACUUGGGGAAACCCUUGCUAAUACCCGAUAGUCUCACACCUAGUGUGAGUAAAGUUUUUCGGUUAGGGACGAGCCUGCGGCCUAUCAGGUUGUUGGUGGGGUAAUGGCCUACCAAGCUUACGACGGGUACCUGGUCUGAAAGGAUGUACGGGCAGAGGGGCACUGAGACACGGGCCCCACUCCUACGGGAGGCAGCAAUUAGGAAUCGUUGACAAUGGGCGAAAGCCUGAUCACGCGACGCCGCGUGAGGGAUGAAGGCCUUCGGGUCGUAAACUUCUGAGAAUAGCACCGGCUAACUACG